UAUGUAUAUGUGUGUGUGUGUGUGUGUGUGUGUGUGUGUGUGUGUUUUGUAUGCACACACACACACACACACACACACACACACACACACACACACACACAUAUAUAUAUGUGUGUGUGUGUGUGUGUUUUGUAUAUAUACACACACACACACACACACACACACACAUAUAUAU
Nothobranchius furzeri (turquoise killifish) is the source of this 175-nucleotide small nucleolar RNA. RefSeq annotates it as small nucleolar RNA SNORA23. Lineage: Eukaryota; Metazoa; Chordata; Actinopteri; Cyprinodontiformes; Nothobranchiidae. The record is from RefSeq and is a predicted model, not a curated record.